GGGAUGCGCUCGGAAAAGGAGGGGGCCGGAGGCCCUAGGGCGGCCGUUGCCGCGCGGGGCCCGAGCGGGAGGGAGAAGCUGUCGGCCCUAGAGGUGCAGUUCCACCGCGACUCGCAGCAGCAGGAGGCUGACACGCCGCCAACCUCGUCCUCCGGUUGCGGGGGCGGUGCGGGCAAACCUCGCGAGGAGAAGAGGACGGCCUUGAGCAAGGUGGUCAUCCGCCGCCUGCCCCCGGGCCUCACCAAGGAGCAGCUGGAGGAGCAGCUGCGCCCGCUGCCAGCACACGACUACUUCGAGUUCUUCGCCGCCGACCUGAGUCUUUAUCCUCAUCUCUACUCAAGGGCAUACAUUAAUUUUAGGAAUCCUGAUGACAUCCUUCUUUUUAGAGAGCGUUUUGAUGGAUAUAUCUUCCUUGACAGCAAAGGUUGGAUUAUUGGUUUUUAAAAAUCUAUUAUAAUCUGUAGGUAUACUAAUGAAGAAUUGCUAGAAAAUUCGUGCUUUUUAUUAUUAUUAUUAUUAUUUGAGACAGGGUCUUGCUCUGUUGCCCAGGCUGUAGUGCAGCAGCCACAAUCACGGCUCACUGCAGCCUCACACUCCGGCUCAAGCAAUCCUCCAGCCUCCUAGUAGCAGGGACCACAGGUGUGUGCCACCAUGAUGGGCUGAUUUAAAAAAAAAAAUUUUGUAGAGACGGGGGUCUCACUGUGUUGCCCAGGCUGGUCUUGAACUCCUGGCUUCAAGUGAUCCUCCCACCUCAGCCUCCCAAAGUGCUGGGAUUACAGACGUGAGCCACAGCAUCUGGUCUAUUUGUGCAUUUUAAUUAAAAAGUUCUCAGACUAAAAUAAGAUAAAUUUUGAUUAUGUUACUGUAAUUAUGUGCAGAUAUUAAAAAUUGAAAUUAUUUAAUUUUAUUAUUUAAUCCAAAAAAAAUCCAGAAAUUCUGUGUAAUAGUGACAGCCUAUUUAUGUAUUAUUAGAGAAUGAAGGUUUUCAUGAGUGAGUUUUUUGCAUGAGAGAACUUGAUCUUUUUAGGUUCUAAAACUAAAUUAUUUUACCUGUUUGAUAGGAAUUUUCCAAAAUGUACACUGACUUCUAUGUUCCUAAACAGCACUCUUCAUGACUGUACCAUUUAUGAUAAUGUCACCAGGAAGUCACUGACUGCUGUUAAACAGCUUUGCCUGGGGAGACAGCAGUCUUCAACUCUACUCUGAAUAGUUC
RNAcentral lists this small RNA (1213 nucleotides) under Pongo abelii (Sumatran orangutan). RNAcentral's name for it is "retained intron". Lineage: Eukaryota; Metazoa; Chordata; Mammalia; Primates; Hominidae. The record is from RNAcentral.